GAUGAACGCUGGCGGCGUGCCUAAUACAUGCAAGUCGAGCGAACGGACGAGAAGCUUGCUUUUCUGAUGUUAGCGACGGACGGGUGAGUAACACGUGGAUAACCUACCUAUAAGACUGGGAUAACUUCGGGAAACCGGAGCUAAUACCGGAUAAUAUUUUGAACCGCAUGGUUCAAAAGUGAAAGACGGUCUUGCUGUCACUUAUAGAUGGAUCCGCGCUGCAUUAGCUAGUUGGUAAGGUAACGGCUUACCAAGGCAACGAUGCAUAGCCGACCUGAGAGGGUGAUCGGCCACACUGGAACUGAGACACGGUCCAGACUCCUACGGGAGGCAGCAGUAGGGAAUCUUCCGCAAUGGGCGAAAGCCUGACGGAGCAACGCCGCGUGAGUGAUGAAGGCCUUCGGAUCGUAAAACUCUGUUAUUAGGGAAGAACAUAUGUGUAAGUAACUGUGCACAUCUUGACGGUACCUAAUCAGAAAGCCACGGCUAACUACGUG
RNAcentral lists this ribosomal RNA (497 nucleotides) under uncultured bacterium. RNAcentral's name for it is "partial 16S ribosomal RNA". It matches the Rfam family "Bacterial small subunit ribosomal RNA", at positions 28 to 507 of the family's 1533-position model. The record is from RNAcentral.